RNAcentral lists this small RNA (301 nucleotides) under Vigna angularis var. angularis. RNAcentral describes it as "Non-protein coding transcript". The record is from RNAcentral. Lineage: Eukaryota; Viridiplantae; Streptophyta; Magnoliopsida; Fabales; Fabaceae.
UUGAGAUAAAAUGUAUUUGGGUUAUGAUUACGAUUAUGAUUUUAUUAAAUUUUGCACAAUCUGUAUUAAGUCAUGGUGUUGUAUGCCAAGUGAAAUGUAAUGUCCAAUGUGAGUUUAUUGGAUAUAGUCAAAAAGCGUUUGACAAUUGUGUCAAAAAGUGUGAGUCACAAUGUGGCCAAUUAUCCAACGAUCCUUUCUACAAAUGUAUCAGUAACUGUCACUUAAUGAAAUCUGCCACCAUCAACAACGGUGCUCGUGAUACUGGGAAUAAUGAGAUGGAUACCUGCAUACAAAAGUGCAA